Peromyscus maniculatus bairdii (prairie deer mouse) is the source of this 161-nucleotide non-coding RNA. The record is from RefSeq and is a predicted model, not a curated record. Lineage: Eukaryota; Metazoa; Chordata; Mammalia; Rodentia; Cricetidae.
GGCAGAGAAAGGUACAUAAAGCAUGAGGAGACAGGAACUAAAGCCUUUUCAGCUGAGGAAGCUCAUUUGGCUAGAGGCAUAUUGGCUGAGGCUUUUAAGGCUGGGGAGUCCUAGAGGUAAGAGGUGGCUUGAGCCGGAGGGUGGUAGCACACGCCUUUAAU